AACGAACGCUGGCGGCAUGCCUAACACAUGCAAGUCGAACGAGAUCUUCGGGUCUAGUGGCGCACGGGUGCGUAACGCGUGGGAAUCUGCCCUUUGGUUCGGAAUAACAGUUGGAAACGACUGCUAAUACCGGACGAUGACGAAAGUCCAAAGAUUUAUCGCCAGAGGAUGAGCCCGCGUAGGAUUAGCUAGUUGGUGUGGUAAAGGCGCACCAAGGCGACGAUCCUUAGCUGGUCUGAGAGGAUGAUCAGCCACACUGGGACUGAGACACGGCCCAGACUCCUACGGGAGGCAGCAGUGGGGAAUAUUGGACAAUGGGCGAAAGCCUGAUCCAGCAAUGCCGCGUGAGUGAUGAAGGCCUUAGGGUUGCAAAGCUCUUUUACCCGGGAUGAUAAUGACAGUACCGGGAGAAUAAGCUCCGGCUAACUCCGUGCCAGCAGCCGCCGCAG
This 449-nucleotide ribosomal RNA is filed under the name uncultured bacterium. RNAcentral's name for it is "partial 16S ribosomal RNA". It matches the Rfam family "Bacterial small subunit ribosomal RNA", at positions 29 to 523 of the family's 1533-position model. The record is from RNAcentral.